GCGGCGGACGGGUGAGUAACACGUGGGCAACCUGCCCUGCAGACUGGGAUAACUUCGGGAAACCGGAGCUAAUACCGGAUAACACCGAAAACCGCAUGGUUUUCGGUUGAAAGGCGGCUUUUAGCUGUCACUGCAGGAUGGGCCCGCGGCGCAUUAGCUAGUUGGUGAGGUAACGGCUCACCAAGGCGACGAUGCGUACCCGACCUGAGAGGGUGACCGGCCACACUGGGACUGAGACACGGCCCAGACUCCUACGGGAGGCAGCAGUAGGGAAUCUUCCGCAAUGGACGAAAGUCUGACGGAGCAACGCCGCGUGAGCGAAGAAGGUCUUCGGAUCGUAAAGCUCUGUUGUCAGGGAAGAACAAGUGCCGUUCGAACAGGGCGGUACCUUGACGGUACCUGACGAGGAAGCCACGGCUAACUACGUGCCAGCAGCCGCGGUAAUAC
Molecule: ribosomal RNA, 447 nt
Filed under: Aeribacillus sp. E08D021X
Lineage: Bacteria; Bacillati; Bacillota; Bacilli; Caryophanales; Bacillaceae
Description: bacterial SSU rRNA
Rfam family: Bacterial small subunit ribosomal RNA
Source: RNAcentral